GACGAACGCUGGCGGCGUGCCUAAUACAUGCAAGUCGAACGCAGUGGGGACGGGUGAGUAACACGUGGGUAACCUCCCAUCAGAGGGGAUAACCAUUGGCAACAGGUGCUAAACCGAUAUUGAUUGAUGUAGCCUCGGUGCAUUAGCUAGUUGGUGAGGUAACGGCUCACCAAGUCCACGAUGCAUAGCCGGCCUGAGAGGUGGAUCGGCAACACUGGGACUGAGACACGGCCCAGACUCCUACGGGAGGCAGCAGUAGUGAAUCUUCGGCAAUGGAGGAAAGUCUGACCGAGCAACGCCGCGUGAGUGAAGAAGGUUUUCGGAUCGUAAAACUCUGGUGGUAGAGAAGCGUUAUCUAACGAGAAAGCCACGGCUAACUACGUGCCAGCAGCCGCGGUAAUAC
RNAcentral lists this ribosomal RNA (403 nucleotides) under uncultured bacterium. RNAcentral describes it as "partial 16S ribosomal RNA". It matches the Rfam family "Bacterial small subunit ribosomal RNA", at positions 28 to 526 of the family's 1533-position model. The record is from RNAcentral.